This is a long non-coding RNA of Macrosteles quadrilineatus (aster leafhopper), 590 nucleotides long. RefSeq lists it as uncharacterized. NCBI's taxonomy places the organism in Eukaryota, Metazoa, Arthropoda, Insecta, Hemiptera, Cicadellidae. The transcript has 3 exons. The record is from RefSeq and is a predicted model, not a curated record.
UUUAGAUCUUUAUCAUAUGCUAGGUUUGUUUUAUAUUCGCCUUGACCCAUUUUGGCUGUUUCUGUCUGUCUUGUUUGAAUUAUUUUGAAGGUAUCAUUUAGCCCACCUAAUUAGUCCUAGGCUAUAACAGUUAUAGCUAGGCAGUACGUUAUAUAGGCUUAAAACAGCUUCAAUGCAAGCAAUGGGCCUAUAAGUUACUCAGUCAUUGAUGCACACCAUAGGCCUAACUUAGACAUUUGUUUUUACUUUGGUGGUCUCUUUUUACCUAGCAUUUGGCCGUUCACAUAGGCCUAGCUUAACAUAGGUCUCGGGCUCCUACGUUUAAGUAGGCCUAAGGUAUCCAGCAACGGAAGGGGUGAACCGUAACUGUUCAAAGAUACCGAUACGAAGCCUUGUCCUGAGCUUCAGUUGCAUGUUUGGUCAACUGUGCAAAUAGUGUCUGCCAACAAAACCACAAGGAGCAGACACCUUUUGUGGAGUGGAGAGAGAGAACAGAGUGUAAAGAGUAGGCCUACACAAACUACAAAAUAUUAUGUUUUGUAGUAACACAAACAUAAUGCAAUAUAAGCUGAGUAUAGUCCUACAGUAAG